Molecule: small nucleolar RNA, 128 nt
Organism: Conger conger (European conger)
Lineage: Eukaryota; Metazoa; Chordata; Actinopteri; Anguilliformes; Congridae
Product: small nucleolar RNA SNORA49
Exons: 1
Source: RefSeq, a predicted model, not a curated record
CUCCCCCUCUAACACCAGUACCUUCUGACGCAGUGAAGUGCUCUGGCUAAGGGGGUAGAGUAUCAGGCUCUCUUCCCUCCUCAGUGGAUGCUUGUGUUCCACUUGGGGCCUGAAGAGAAGCCGACAGG